Molecule: ribosomal RNA, 340 nt
Filed under: uncultured bacterium
Lineage: Bacteria
Description: bacterial SSU rRNA
Rfam family: Bacterial small subunit ribosomal RNA
Source: RNAcentral
GAGGAAGGUGGGGAUGACGUCAAGUCCUCAUGGCCCUUAUGGGUAGGGCUUCACACGUAAUACAAUGGCGCGUACAGAGGGUUGCCAAGCAGCGAUGCGGAGCCAAUCCCAGAAAGCGCGUCGUAGUCCGGAUUGCAGUCUGCAACUCGACUGCAUGAAGUCGGAAUCGCUAGUAAUCGCGGAUCAGCAUGUCGCGGUGAAUACGUUCCCGGGCCUUGUACACACCGCCCGUCACACCAUGGGAGUGGGUAUUACCAGAAGCAGUUAGCCUAACCGCAAGGGGGGCGAUUGCCACGGUAGGAUUCAUGACUGGGGUGAAGUCGUAACAAGGUAGCCGUAA